CCUACGUGAGGCAGCAGUGGGGAAUAUUGUGCAAUGGGCGAAAGCCUGACGCAGCGACGCCGCGUGAGGGAUGAAGGUCUUCGGAUCGUAAACCUCUGUCAGCAGGGAAGAACGGUCACUGUGCUAAUCAGCAGUGAAUUGACGGUACCUGCAAAGGAAGCACCGGCUAACUCCGUGCCAGCAGCCGCGGUAAUACGGAGGGUGCGAGCGUUAAUCGGAAUUACUGGGCGUAAAGCGCUCGUAGGCGGUAUGUCAAGUCAAGGGUGAAAUCCCCGCGCUCAACGUGGGAACUGCCUUUGAAACUGGCAAACUGGAGUGUGUGAGAGGAUAGUGGAAUUCCAGGUGUAGGAGUGAAAUCCGUAGAUAUCUGGAGGAACAUCAGUGGCGAAGGCGACUAUCUGGCACAUAACUGACGCUGAGGAGCGAAAGCGUGGGUAGCAAACAGGAUUAGAUACCCUGGUAGUC
Molecule: ribosomal RNA, 465 nt
Filed under: uncultured bacterium
Lineage: Bacteria
Description: partial 16S ribosomal RNA
Rfam family: Bacterial small subunit ribosomal RNA
Source: RNAcentral